RNAcentral lists this transfer RNA (70 nucleotides) under Aetalion reticulatum. RNAcentral describes it as "tRNA-Leu". Lineage: Eukaryota; Metazoa; Arthropoda; Insecta; Hemiptera; Aetalionidae. The record is from RNAcentral.
UCUAUUGUGACAGAUCAUAAUUGUAGUGAACUUAAGAUUCAUUCAUAAAUAUUUAUAUAUUUCUUUAGAA